This is a long non-coding RNA of Priapulus caudatus, 121 nucleotides long. RefSeq lists it as uncharacterized. The record is from RefSeq and is a predicted model, not a curated record. Lineage: Eukaryota; Metazoa; Priapulida; Priapulimorpha; Priapulimorphida; Priapulidae. The transcript has 3 exons.
GAGCCGUCCAGCAGAUGCGCUCGAGAGGUAAGGACCUGAAAGACGGAGAGUUGCCAUUUUUUGCUGCUGGAAUAAGUUCAGUCGUCCAUCCAAAGAAUCCCAACGUUCGACGAUACAUUUC